GGGCGUGUAGCUCAGUUGGUAGAGCGUGUCAUUAGCAUGUCUACCCCUACUUGACAAGGUCUUUGGUUCGAUUCCUAACUCGUCCA
RNAcentral lists this transfer RNA (86 nucleotides) under Apiotrichum porosum. Its description in RNAcentral is "Trichosporon porosum tRNA". It matches the Rfam family "tRNA". From Rfam's summary of the family: Transfer RNA (tRNA) molecules are approximately 80 nucleotides in length. Their secondary structure includes four short double-helical elements and three loops (D, anti-codon, and T loops). The record is from Rfam by way of RNAcentral. Lineage: Eukaryota; Fungi; Basidiomycota; Tremellomycetes; Trichosporonales; Trichosporonaceae.